GCAUCAUCUCCUUCGGGCUCCUGGGGAAAAUCUACUCUGCCCUCUCCAAACUGCCGGUGACGUCCGAGCAUUCCGUGGAGCUGGAUCUGCAGGAUUCCCCAUUCCCAAGCACCUUCAUCGACUGGCUCCUCCAGACUGCAGGUGUCAAUCCCGGGAGCAAUCCGUAGCCUGGAAGUACGUGGGGUGCCUCCACAGGCGAUUCCUGAGGAGGAGGAGGGAAGGGAGGAAGAUGACUCGACGCGUGGAGAAUAGACAUGAAAAUGAAGAAAACCCAAGAAAACACAUUUUCUUCUGCUCUACUUCUCAGAUUGAGGUGUCUUUUUACAGCCCAGGGUAAUCUGUGCCAGUGGUCAGCCGUGUCAGUGGUUAGCUGUGUCGGUGGUUAGCUAUGCUGAUGACACUCUGACUACAGAGGCAGGAGCCCCAGGUCUUGCCUCUGUGCUCUCCUGGUUCUCAUGGUCACAAGCCACUUGUUAUGGCACCCACUGAUGAAGGGAACACCUUUACCCCCUGCUUCUUUCUCACGCCCACCCCAGCUUCGCUGGGGCUGGGGUUUGGGCCAGGUAGUGGCUCAGCACAGAGGGGAUAUUCCAGGUGCUGGAUGCAGGCACCUGGGAUGAAGGCAGGGAUUUGGUCCCCUCACAGCCACCCCUCAGGAAUUUCAGGAGUUUGCACCAACUGCACCAAACCCCCGAGAAGGGAAGGGAGAAAAGGGACGAACCCGAACCUAAAAGCUGUAAAAGCUUUGUCUUUGCUCUCCUUCUGCUGCUUGAUUAGCUUACCAUUUCAAAAGGGAAUUUUGCUGUUUCCAGUGAUUUCAAGAGGCAAAAAGGCCCCCGGUCUAAUCCAGGCGCACACUCAGCCGAUUUGUUCCCAAACAGCGACGCUUUGAACUGAUCAGAGCGAACGCUAUCCUGCCUUGUAAUCUCCGAGUGGAUUUGGAUGUGCUGCAUUGUGGGUGAGGUGGAUUUGAGGCUGAUUCCCACCCUUCUGUUACUCCUUACAAUAAAAAGGAUUUUUCUUCAUCUGCAUUCAGCACGUGACUUGGUUCCUUUCCGAACUGCCAAAGCAUUUUUGCAUUUGUAAGGGUUUUGUUAUUUAUCUCUCCCAUCAGCUACAGGAGUAACUCACAUGCGAGGAAUAUUGAAUAGGUGAGUCUGCUGGGAAGGUGGGGAAUCACAAGCGGCUCCAGCCCCAGAGCUAGGCCUGAGUCGAGCCCAAGCCCUGCCCAGGCUGCUGGAGCCCCCCUUCUCACAGCCUAAAGUACCUACAGAAAUGUGGUCAAUGUGGGAAAUAAAUAUUCCCCUCAUUUGUAUUUAUGCAGAUUUAUUCUGCCCCUGUCCCUGAGCUGCUGGUUCUUUCAGUGCCUGUUCCUGCUUCCCAGCCUGUUGCCAGAGAGCUGGGAGCUGUUUGACAUGAACAAACACAUCCCUGGUGCCCCAUCGAGGCAGCUCCCUGUCUGGCUGGG
Molecule: long non-coding RNA, 1468 nt
Organism: Empidonax traillii (willow flycatcher)
Lineage: Eukaryota; Metazoa; Chordata; Aves; Passeriformes; Tyrannidae
Exons: 4
Source: RefSeq, a predicted model, not a curated record